RNAcentral lists this ribosomal RNA (637 nucleotides) under Ganoderma gibbosum. RNAcentral's name for it is "eukaryotic LSU rRNA". The stretch from base 218 to 371 matches the Rfam family "5.8S ribosomal RNA". Lineage: Eukaryota; Fungi; Basidiomycota; Agaricomycetes; Polyporales; Polyporaceae. The record is from RNAcentral.
GGAAGGAUCAUUAUCGAGUUCUGACUGGGUUGUAGCUGGCCUUCCGAGGCAUGUGCACGCCCUGCUCAUCCACUCUACACCUGUGCACUUACUGUGGGUUUACGGGUCGUGAAACGGGCUCGUUUAUUCGGGCUUGUUGAGCGCACUUGUUUCCUGCGUUUAUCACAAACUCUAUAAAGUAUCAGAAUGUGUAUUGCGAUGUAACGCAUCUAUAUACAACUUUCAGCAACGGAUCUCUUGGCUCUCGCAUCGAUGAAGAACGCAGCGAAAUGCGAUAAGUAAUGUGAAUUGCAGAAUUCAGUGAAUCAUCGAAUCUUUGAACGCACCUUGCGCUCCUUGGUAUUCCGAGGAGCAUGCCUGUUUGAGUGUCAUGAAAUCUUCAAUCUACAAACUUCUUAUGGGGUUUGUAGGCUUGGACUUGGAGGCUUGUCGGUCCCUUUACAGGUCGGCUCCUCUUAAAUGCAUUAGCUUGGUUCCUUGCGGAUCGGCUUGUCGGUGUGAUAAUGUCUACGCCGCGACCGUGAAGCGUGUUUGGGCGAGCUUCUAACCGUCUCGUUACAGAGACAACUUUUAUGACCUCUGACCUCAAAUCAGGUAGGACUACCCGCUGAACUUAAGCAUAUCAAUAAGCGGAGGA